UACGUAGGGUGCGAGCGUUAAUCGGAAUUACUGGGCGUAAAGGGUGCGUAGGUGGUUUUUUAAGUCCGUUGUGAAAUCCCUGGGCUCAACCUGGGAAUGGCAGUGGAUACUGGAAAGCUAGAGUGCGGUAGAGGGUAGUGGAAUUCCCGGUGUAGCAGUGAAAUGCGUAGAGAUCGGGAGGAACACCAGUGGCGAAGGCGGCUACCUGGACCAGCACUGACACUGAGGCACGAAAGCGUGGGGAGCAAACAG
This 252-nucleotide ribosomal RNA is filed under the name uncultured bacterium. RNAcentral describes it as "partial 16S ribosomal RNA". It matches the Rfam family "Bacterial small subunit ribosomal RNA", at positions 524 to 775 of the family's 1533-position model. The record is from RNAcentral.